This 32-nucleotide transfer RNA is filed under the name Dicranum scoparium. Its description in RNAcentral is "partial tRNA-His". Lineage: Eukaryota; Viridiplantae; Streptophyta; Bryopsida; Dicranales; Dicranaceae. The record is from RNAcentral. RNAcentral also lists the same sequence under 4 other names.
GGCGGACGUGGCCAAGUGGAUUAAGGCAGUAA